This 402-nucleotide ribosomal RNA is filed under the name uncultured bacterium. Its description in RNAcentral is "bacterial SSU rRNA". It matches the Rfam family "Bacterial small subunit ribosomal RNA", at positions 355 to 774 of the family's 1533-position model. The record is from RNAcentral.
UCGGGAAUUUUGGGCAAUGGGCGAAAGCCUGACCCAGCAACGCCGCGUGAGGGAUGAAGUAUUUCGUUAUGUAAACCUCGAAAGAAUGGGAAGAAUAAAUGACGGUACCAUUUAUAAGCUCCGGCUAACUACGUGCCAGCAGCCGCGGUAAUACGUAGGGAGCAAGCGUUGUUCGGAUUUACUGGGCGUAAAGGGCGCGUAGGCGGCGCGGUAAGUCACUUGUGAAAUCUCUGAGCUUAACUCAGAACGGCCAAGUGAUACUGCUGUGCUAGAGUGCGGAAGAGGCAACCGGAAUUCUUGGUGUAGCGGUGAAAUGCGUAGAUAUCAAGAGGAACACCUGAGGCGAAGGCGGGUUGCUGGGCCGACACUGACGCUGAUGCGCGAAAGCCAGGGGAGCAAACG